AAUCAACGCUGGCGGCGUGCCUCAGACAUGCAAGUCGAACGCGAAAGUCCCCUUCGGGGGACAAGUAGAGUGGCGCACGGGCGAGUAACACGUAGGUAAUCUACCUUCGGAUGGGGAAUAACAACCGGAAACGGUUGCUAAUACCGCAUAAUGCAGCGGCACCUAAUGGUGACAGUUGUUAAAGCGGGGGAUCGAAAGACCUCGCGUCUGAAGAGGAGCCUGCGGCGAAUUAGCUAGNGGUAAGGUAAUGGCUUACCAAGGCGACGAUCCGUAGCCGGCCUGAGAGGACGACCAGCCACACUGGGACUGAGACACGGCCCAGACUCCUACGGGAGGCAGCAGUGGGGAAUAUUGGACAAUGGGCGCAAGCCUGAUCCAGCGAUGCCGCGUGUGUGAAGAAGGCCUGCGGGUUGUAAAGCACUUUCAGUAGGGAAGAAACCCGAAGUGCUAAUAUCACUCGGUCUUCUACGUUACUU
Molecule: ribosomal RNA, 476 nt
Filed under: uncultured bacterium
Lineage: Bacteria
Description: bacterial SSU rRNA
Rfam family: Bacterial small subunit ribosomal RNA
Source: RNAcentral